GGCUACACCAUCUCCAAACACACAGAUGCCAUCUUGACAAGCAGCAUCUCCAGGGCUCAGCCCCCAGGUCUGUGGGGAGACGAGCUCAGGCUUAUCCUCCACCUGGGUCUGGUUCGCAGGCAACAAAGGCACCCACGGGGCUGGAAGUCCCCUGGGCAUGACUGGAGUCAGGCCUGGGGUCCUGGGGGAGGCUGUUACUCAGACGUUCUGUGGAGGCCUCCAGCAACCAGCAGGUGUGCAGGGUAAGUGGCAUGGUGACACACACAACGCUGGUGGACAAAGCAGGCAUGCCUUGGGCUCCAAGAAUUCCCUGGGGCUUUGUCACGUGGGCCAAGGCUGCAGCUCUGCCUCUAAGCCCUAGCAGCUCUGGGCCUGGGCCAAGGCCUCCUGAGUAGGUCCGACUGGGGUGUGGCAAGGUGGGGCGUGAGGGCCUGGGCACACCAGGCUCCCGCCGUCAGCUGUCCAAGUAGACAAAGAGGAUGUCCUCAUCUGUGCCAUAACUGGUUCUGGCUUCCUCGAAGUUACUGAUGCUGGUGCUGCACAUUCCUGCUGAGGGCAGGAAGGGCAGAGUGGGGUCAGCAGGUAGAGGGGGGUUAUACCUGCCUCGCUGGCGCCCAGGGGAGCUGGGGGAGAUCUGACCAUGGCCCAUCUGCCUGGCCACCCUUUGCCACUCAUCUCCCACCCCAGGAAGCCUUCCUUGCCUAUUUCAGUCUUCAUGAGCUCAUUCUCUGACCCUUCCCCAAUUUCAAAGAUGGAGAAAGUGAGGUCCAGAGAGGAGAAGAAACAUGCUUGAGGACACAUGGGUUUCCACACGUGAGGAGUGAGGAUAGCACCAGCUUCCCACUCAAGAAGAGAGCACGUGUCGGAUGCCACUAGAUGAAACCAAGCCUGGUUGGAAGCUGGGCCUCCUGUAAACCCCAGCCAUGAAUAGCCACAUGGAUGAUGAAUCCCACCCAGGUCUCUCCGUUUCUCCUUCCAGCCAGAGCAGACAGUGUGGAUGGGGAGGACCUAGGCUUGCGCACUCACCGCAGGACCAUCUUGGAGCAGGCCAGGCCGCAGUCCCAGUGGUAGAGCUGCUGGAUGAUGGGCACGGGCAGCUGCACAAAGUCUCCUGAGUGGAAACACAAGGAGGUCAUAGACCCUUGGCACUGUGCCUGUCACUGCCACCCCCAUUGGCUCCUGCCCAGAUCCUGUAGGGCUAUUCAGAAGCUGGCAAACAGCCUUUCAGGUGCCCCAAUCCAUUCUCCUUACAACAGCAGUAAUCUCCCCAAAACAACCAGUCAGAGUAGGUCAGCUCUGCACAAAAUCCUGCAAUGGGUUGGUUCCUGCAUCUCUUAGGACAAUGCCUUCAUGGCUGCUGCCCCAGCACCCUCUGCCUUCUUGCUUCCCCUCAUCCUCAUUAGGCCUAACUCUAGGCAGAACCUUCACCUGUGAUCCCAGGGCCUUUCCACACCUGUUCCCACUGCCUGAACUCUCCUGGCUUCCCAGGUGCCUGACAUAACUCCUGCCUUUGGAUAUGACUUCUCCAUGACAUUGCCUCCAUCAUGCUAGCCCCCCACUACAUGCACUCACAGACCCACACGUCUCACUUUUAGAGCACUCUUUUUGGUGGAACCUCUGAGGAAACUGGGACAGGGCAGGCACAUGGGAGACGCUCAGCAGAAUUCAUGUCUGAAUUCAUGAGGCCCCUGGAGGUCUGCGUACCUCCCAAGACUCCCAGGGCCGCCAAAGUGUGAAGUCCACAGUUAGAAAGAAGGAAGACUGUCAUGUAAUCUGUGUAUGUGCAACGCUACCCUAGGUGACCUCUCAGUCUAUUCUUGCCACCCAGUUUGGAGGAGCAGAAAGGGCGCAACCUAAGCAUUUUAGCCCCAGCUCUGUCACAGGCUGGCUGUGGGCUGAGCAACUGACUUCCUCUCGCUGGAUGGAGUCUGGCUAUCUCUAAAGUGGGGGACUUUGAUCUGAUUCAUUCAAUCAACAAAUAUUUCCCAAGAGCCUAGCACCUGGCAUGUGACCUGGAGAUGUGGUGGCAAGUGACAUAAACAGAUCCCUAUCCUGGUAGACAGCAAAAACAAGCAAGUGUAAGGGAAAAUCAGAGGGCUGGUCUGGGGAAAUGGUGGGGGUAUGCCUUAGAGAGUGAGGGCCAGAGAAUGGAACACAGAGGUGAAGAGCAGGCACUAAAAUGGCAAGGCAGGGGCCAGCUGGCAUGUGGCCUACUGGAACCGCCUACUUUGGAAUCCCACAAAUCUGGACAAAGUUCAGAGUCUAGAGAAAUGGGAGGGCCACCUCUUCAGCUAUCACCACUCACUGCUCAUUCAUGACACCCACUCAACAUGGGAAAAUCCGGCCCAUGUUGUUUCUUCGUCUCUGGGGGUCUCUGGAGUCUCUUUUGAACCCAGGACCUGUCCAUGCAGAGCUGCCCGAGAAGCUGGCUUACCAUGCCAACCCUGGCUCCCACUGCAUGUAGCAACCAGAAGGGCCCGGAUGUCUCUCCUGGCUUUUCAACCUGCUGGCCUUGUCUGGGCAGUGUCUUGCCUGGAGUGAGUCCCAAGCUCCUACUCUAUGUGUAAACCCUCCCCAGCCUUCAAGGUCUGGCCAAGAUGCUAGGGGCCUUUUCUGAUCCUAGGCUGGCCAUGCCCUUGCCCUCAUCUGCACUCUGCCAGGCCAGAGUUCACGCUUUGGCUCACAGGACCCUUGCAUCGAGCUUGUUUGUGCCCUGCUGAGCUGUUGUACAUUCACAGGAGGCAGGGACCUGUGACUGCUCCUUCACUGCCUUAUACUUGGCCUUGCUCCCCUCAUUCCUCACCUGCAAGGGCAAGCAGCAGGGUGUCGGGAUGGCAGGACGGCGUGGGCGAGUACAGGCCUCUUGUUGGCUGAGUCACUUGAGAGAGGCAUUUGGCCUCUCUAUGCCUGCUUCUUCCUCUAUGAAAUGGACCACCAGAGAUGCCAGUCUGGGGAGUGCUAUGCGCACUCAGGGCAAGGGCAUGUGGAAAGCUCUUUUCAGGUGCUGACGUGAAUGCUGCCCUCCAUCCAGGGGGACCUGGCACACUGAGCCAAUUGGGCUGAGGCUUUGUUCCCUCCUUCCCCUGACCCCAGAUGCCUCUACAAGGAACACAGGCCAUCAUUCAAGGCCUUCCGACAUUUGCCUCUUCCCACUGACAUGGAUUCAGUUCUGAGGGCUCAGUGCAGCCUGACUUCUGCCUAUCCUCUGUUCCAAACUCCACCCCCGGCUCCUCCCCCGUCAUACACAGUAGCCAGGGGGAUCCCAUCCAUGGGCUCCCAUUACUCUCAGAAUAAAGUCAUCACCCCACUCCACGGCCUGCAGGGGCCAGCCCCCAUCCUCACCUCGGCCCUGACACCUCACGCACCGACUUCCAGUCACCCUGGGAAGGCAUCAAGCUGCAUUACACCCCUCUGCAAGUGCAGCUGUCUCUGUCUGAGACUUUCUUUCACCUGCAGUUCUCCAGGCUGCCCCUUUUUGUCAUGCAGGUCCCAGCUCAAAUGCUCCUCCUCUGAGGAUUUUUCUGACCAUGCUUUUGGGAGAGGGGGACCUCCUUCCCAGCAUCCUGUUUGUUUCCCUCACAGUACUUAGCAAGAUUUAUAAGAAAAUUGAAAAUAAAAUAGAGCUACUCCAUCUCCCCACAAGACUGUAAGCUUCCUGAGGACAAAGAGUUUGCUGAUCUUGCCCACUAGUGCCUAGUGUCUGAUGCUUAGCAGUAAUUCGAUAAACAUUUGUUGGAAGAAAUGAACUUAUUAAGCCCUCAAUGUGUGCUACGAUUUGAGGACACUAAGUCCCAAGUCCUGCCCCCCAGAUUCAUAUUCUAAAAAAUUCCCUGCAAUGGGCUGAGUGGAGAGAGAGAACUUAGCAGGGUGCUGUUCUCUCACUGUGGAAUGCGUCCCUUGUCCCUUUUCAAGAACCCUUCGCUGUGGCAAUAAACUACCUUUUUGUUUCUCUGUAUAGAGGCUAUUUACUCCCCAGGCUUUGCUCUUGCAAAUACCUUAGUCUGGAAUGUUA
Long non-coding RNA from Suricata suricatta (meerkat), 4012 nucleotides. RefSeq lists it as uncharacterized. The transcript has 3 exons. NCBI's taxonomy places the organism in Eukaryota, Metazoa, Chordata, Mammalia, Carnivora, Herpestidae. The record is from RefSeq and is a predicted model, not a curated record.